RNAcentral lists this unclassified non-coding RNA (162 nucleotides) under soil metagenome. Its description in RNAcentral is "partial internal transcribed spacer 1". The record is from RNAcentral.
GUGAAUUGAAUAUGUUAGCGGACCUCUUCGGAGUCCCUAGCAUCAAAUCAUAUCCAUAACACCUGUGAACUGUAAGGCUGUCUUGAAAACGAAAGUGAUUAGAGCGCCUGCCCAUUUUAUACAAACAUUAAAGUAACAAACGUAGUCUUAUUAUAAUCUAUA